RNAcentral lists this ribosomal RNA (304 nucleotides) under uncultured bacterium. RNAcentral's name for it is "bacterial SSU rRNA". It matches the Rfam family "Bacterial small subunit ribosomal RNA", at positions 30 to 334 of the family's 1533-position model. The record is from RNAcentral.
AUUGAACGCUGGCGGCAUGCCUUACACAUGCAAGUCGAACGGCAGCACGGACUUCGGUCUGGUGGCGAGUGGCGAACGGGUGAGUAAUAUAUCGGAACAUACCCAGUAGUGGGAGAUAACUAUCCGAAAGGAUAGCUAAUACCGCAUACGAUCUGUGGAUGAAAGCAGGGGAUCUUCGGACCUUGUGCUAUUGGAAUGGCCGAUAUCUGAUUAGCUAGUUGGUAGGGUAAAAGCCUACCAAGGCGACGAUCAGUAGCUGGUCUGAGAGGACGACCAGCCACACUGGAACUGAGACACGGUCCAG